UCCAGACCUUGGGGAAUGUGUGAUUGAAAUGAUGAAUCAAAUGUGGAGAAAAAGCCAAUCUUGGAAAAAGUCUGCAAGUUUGCUGAAGUUUAACCAAAAUGAGAGACACAUCUUCAAAAACACAGUAAAACAGCAAACAGGCACUACUUGCUCUGUCCACGCUGUCUCAAAACACAAGCAAGCCUGUCUGUCCAUUUGCGGAGGGUGUUCACCACAGGUGCUGAUGCGUCAGCAUAUGUGCGAAAGUCCUCCAUGACAUACCCUCCCGAUCCCCGACGGUCAGUCCGACGACCAUGCACUAUUUUCGGACACCUUCUGAGGACAUCCUGCCCACUCUGGAGGAUGGAAACAAGGGCCUAGAAGAAGA
Molecule: long non-coding RNA, 367 nt
Organism: Gadus chalcogrammus (walleye pollock)
Lineage: Eukaryota; Metazoa; Chordata; Actinopteri; Gadiformes; Gadidae
Exons: 3
Source: RefSeq, a predicted model, not a curated record